Molecule: long non-coding RNA, 2369 nt
Organism: Rosa chinensis
Lineage: Eukaryota; Viridiplantae; Streptophyta; Magnoliopsida; Rosales; Rosaceae
Exons: 3
Source: RefSeq, a predicted model, not a curated record
CUACUCUAGACAUAAAGCCACAAUCCACCGCUUCUGUUUUUUUCUUGCUCAUUCUAGACUUCUUCAUCAGUCUUCGAGAACGACUGCUGUAAACCCAAAGCUUUCCAUCUUUGAUUCAGCAAAGAUUAAAUUGAAGCUAGAAGAGGCGAAGGAAGCUACUCUUACUUUUAAUCUUUGAUUCAGCAAUCGACAAUCUACCUUUUACUCUUGCUGUGCGUUUAUUUUAGCGGCUUUGGGUUGAUGAAUUAAUUGAUUCUGUGUUGCUCAAUUCAUCGUUUUUGAAUGGGUUUUGUGUUGCUCUUUGGGAUACAUUUCUUUCUUUCUCGGAUUGUAUGUUUUUGCUAACAUUUGUUUUGGGUUUUUGUAGGUGAUCUUCAUGUUUUGGGUACCACAAUCGAUGACGCUUGGAAAGAGAUUGAAGGGAGUAGAGGAACAAGUUCCGAUGUCUACUGCCUAUCCAACCCGGAGACUCUUAUUCACGGUUGAGUGUUGGUCCUUCCUUCACAUAUGAAGCAUUUUCGCCUUUUUUCUAGCAGGAGCAAAGGUCGUCGCAAGGGUCCAUUCAAUCUUCAAAACUAAAAGCAUAUCCAGACCAACGAGGUGUUGUUUAUGAAUCUGUUUUUCAAUCUGGGUGUUGCUUAUAUAAUCUCGGUUUCUUGAUGUUAUUAUUUUCUUUGUAUGAUUCUGCAAAAUGAAGGUAUACCUGAAAAUAAAGUGGCUAAUCUGUUGCUUAAAGUCUUUGUUUGUACCUGCAAGAUGAACAUCACAAAUAAUUAAUGAAUGGAUAACUAUUAAAAGGGAAAGAUUACCUGAAAAUUUUCAACUGAGUGCUCAGUUAUUGAAGUUGACUUGGUGGACUUGAUUCCGGCAACAAAUUUGAAGUCUUGCUUUGAAAAAAACCAAUUUUGGUAAGAUUUCAAGCUUUUUACUUUGUUUGUUAUUAAAGAGUUGUUUUCAUUGUUACUUACUUUGAUUUACCUUCAUGUUCUGAAGAUUUUUUUGAUCUUAAGGUUAUCCAAUGUUCUUUGUCAGCUAAUGAGCUUGGCCAAUUGUUAAGACAUUUGCUUGAAUUGGUUAUGUAUUCGUUUGCUUUGCCUAUGUUCCAAUUUUAUAUUUGUUUGAAUUGGUUAUGUAUACACGUUUUUAACUUGCUUUCUUUACUUCUAUUUGUAAUGGUAAUGAUUUAAAGGGAGGAGACACGACGAUAGAUGAGGUGAGACAACUGAGGUUUAUAGGUAUGUGGUUAAUGAUUGUAAUCUAAUCGCCUUCCCAUUAGAAUCUGAAAUUUGGAAUCGAUAAAUUCACUUCAGAGGGAGUUAACAGCCUCUCAUGGUCUCUUUGUUAGUCCUUGCCCUGCUUUUCUAGGUACAUACUGGGAGGUUUUUUUUUUUUUGUCCACUUCUGUUUCACAAGUUGGAACAAAUGAUACAAAAUUCUUUGAUAUAAUUUAUUUUUACAUUUUUGGACACCUCUUGGAUUUUGUUACAGCAAAUAGAUACACUAGGUACUACUUUGAUGCACUGUCCCGAAAACAAUAAGGCUUUUAAGUUUGUUAUUGUGGAGCUCUGAUGUUGUUAAAUGAAUACUAUGUAAAUGAAGUGGCUGUUGAACAAUUGAAUUUGAAUUCAUUGUCAUUUAUUUAUGUGCUUACCUAUGGCAUCAGAUACAUUGCAUGGUCUGUUUGAUUUUGCAUUCAAUUUUACGAAAUUUUUUUUUUUUUUUUGAUAAUGUCCAAUUUAUUCUGAUUCAUUCUUCUUCCAGAUUUACCUGUGGGGAGUAACAUCCUUCCAAUUCUGAACGUCCGCCAUGUGUAUACUGAAACGAAAAGAUUUUGCCUUUUUUCCCUUUAGAGAAGAGCAUGACGGGAGAGCCUGGAGAUGUAUAAUGGCUCAGUGCUCAUUGCUCAUUCCGAACACGGAACAUGCCAACAUGGGGUUGAAGGCCAGUUACCUUUUUAAUAGUUUAGUUAGCAGCAAAUCUAUAAUUUAGAGUUGUGAUUUGUUGGAAGGGUGGAGUAGCAAGGAACUUUAUUCACUUUUGGUGUAAUGACACAGCUACCUACACUAUAGUGAAGUGCUUGGGUUUAGAUUGUUGGGACAAUAUCUUGACAUUUCUGUGUGAUGGAAUAAAUUUUGAUCAGCUACCAUCUCUAGCUUGCAGAGAGAUUGAAAUGUAUGCGAAGCAUAGAACUAUCAUUUUAGCGGUCUUGAUAUUUUUCCUUCCUACAAGCAAGAAAAAACAACGAAGGAAUAGAAAGAACAAAGCAUAUGCAGUUGUCGGACACUCAAAAGUGGGGAGAUUGCCUCCAUCUAUAUGGCAAUCUUUUAUAGUGAAAUCACAUCUACCAUUUUGUGAUGAGAUAAUGGUUA